RNAcentral lists this ribosomal RNA (253 nucleotides) under uncultured bacterium. Its description in RNAcentral is "partial 16S ribosomal RNA". It matches the Rfam family "Bacterial small subunit ribosomal RNA", at positions 524 to 776 of the family's 1533-position model. The record is from RNAcentral.
UACGUAGGGGGCUGGCGUUGUCCGGAAUCAUUGGGCGUAAAGCGCGUGUAGGCGGUUCGGUAAGUCCGCUGUGAAAGUCGGGGGCUCAACCCUCGAAUGCCGGUGGAUACUGUCGGACUAGAGUACGGAAGAGGCGAGUGGAAUUCCUGGUGUAGCGGUGAAAUGCGCAGAUAUCAGGAGGAACACCAAUUGCGAAGGCAGCUCGCUGGGACGUUACUGACGCUGAGACGCGAAAGCGUGGGGAGCAAACAGG